AAAGAAGCCUCAGCAAUCUCCAAGGAGAUACGUCUUGUGCUGCUGGGAGAGCUUACACUAUAGUCUGAACUUCUACAGAGCCUUUUCCUACUGUAAACCUCACUCAAAAAUGACAGCCUUCCAUUUCACAAGAAUCAGAGUCUUGCUAUGUUGCCCACGUGGUAUCAACUCCUGGCCUCAAGUGAUCUUCCUGCCUCAGCUUACCAAAGUGUUGGGAUUACAGAUGUGAGCCACAGUGCCCAGUCUGUGUGUGUUUUUAUAAUUGGAAGUACAUGACAUCUUUUACACAAUAUGCAAAUGCAUAUUGAGGAAGGAGGGAGAGCAACUAUGUCUAAAAGUAAUCACAAUAAGUCUUGACCCAUUAACUGUACAGAUCAAAAUCCACACCAAUUUUAGAUUCAGAGAACACUAUGUCUUUUUAAAAAUCUAUUUAGAAACUACUUACAGUAUUUUUUAGAAAAUGCACAGGAACCCCUGUUAAGAAAUAAAAUAUUCCUUGCAAUAGUUUGCUGAGAAUGAUGGUUUCCAGCUUGAUCCAUGUCCCUAUACCUAAUGUUAAAUGACGAGUUACUGGGUGCAGCACACCAAUAUGGCACAUGUAUACAUAUGUAACUAACCUGCACGUUGUGCACGUGUACCCUAAAACUUAAAGUAUAAUAAAAUAAAUAAAUA
This is a long non-coding RNA of Homo sapiens (human), 672 nucleotides long. The record is from Ensembl. NCBI's taxonomy places the organism in Eukaryota, Metazoa, Chordata, Mammalia, Primates, Hominidae.